UGAGGAAUAUUGCGCAAUGGCCGAAAGGCUGACGCAGCAACGCCGCGUGAGGGAUGAAGUUCUUCGGAAUGUAAACCUCUGUUAGAGGGGACGAAUGAGGGAGAGACCAAUAGACUCUCUCUUUGACGGUACCUUCAGAGAAAGCCCCGGCUAACUCCGUGCCAGCAGCCGCGGUAACACGGGGGGGGCAAGCGUUGUCCGGAAUUAUUGGGCGUAAAGGGCGCGUAGGUGGGAAAGCAAGUCUGGGGUGCAAACUUGUGGCUUAACUGCAAGCUUGCCCUGGAUGCUACUGUUCUUGAGUUCGGAAGAGGGUAGUGGAAUUCCUGGUGUAGCGGUGAAAUGCGUAGAUAUCAGGAAGAACACCGGUGGCGAAGGCGGCUACCUGGUCCGAUACUGACACUGAGGCGCGAAAGUGCGGGGAGCAAACAG
Molecule: ribosomal RNA, 429 nt
Filed under: uncultured bacterium
Lineage: Bacteria
Description: bacterial SSU rRNA
Rfam family: Bacterial small subunit ribosomal RNA
Source: RNAcentral